RNAcentral lists this transfer RNA (69 nucleotides) under Ictidomys tridecemlineatus (thirteen-lined ground squirrel). RNAcentral's name for it is "Spermophilus tridecemlineatus (thirteen-lined ground squirrel) tRNA". It matches the Rfam family "tRNA". Rfam says of the family: Transfer RNA (tRNA) molecules are approximately 80 nucleotides in length. Lineage: Eukaryota; Metazoa; Chordata; Mammalia; Rodentia; Sciuridae. The record is from Rfam by way of RNAcentral.
GGGGUUGUGGCUCAGCGGUAGAGCACUCGCCUAGCAUGUGUGAGGCCCUGGGUUCGGUCCUCAGCACCA